This 483-nucleotide ribosomal RNA is filed under the name Hastigerina pelagica. RNAcentral's name for it is "bacterial SSU rRNA". It matches the Rfam family "Eukaryotic small subunit ribosomal RNA", at positions 1193 to 1460 of the family's 1831-position model. The record is from RNAcentral. Lineage: Eukaryota; Foraminifera; Rotaliida; Hantkeninidae.
ACAGUGGCUAUUUGACUCAACGCGGGAAAAUCUUACCGGGUCCGGACACACUGAGGAUUGACAGACAGUAUUCAUGCCGACUGAAUUUCGACAUAUUUCAAAUGUGCGAGUUCUUUCAUGAUUGUGUGAUAGGUGGUGCAUGGCCGUUCUUAGUUCGUGGAGUGAUCUGUCUGCUUAAUUGCGUUUCAUAUUUACGAAUGUCGCUUACGUGAUUGCUGCAGACCUCGCGUCUCUUUAUUGAGUGCGACGCGUCUCUUCAACUCACUCGCACAUUCUCUUGAACGCAACGAGCGUGACCGCAACCUCUUGUUGUGUAUACCAAGUGUGUCGUUGCUUGCAACUCACACUCCAAUGCACGUAUUUUGGUCACAUUGUCCUGACCGUCGCACAGCCUCGGCUGUCGGCGCCAGCAAUGUCCAAAUAAACUUGAGGGACCGCUGUAACAAUUCUUUUAAACCAGAGGAAGGUUGCGGCAAUAACAGG